RNAcentral lists this ribosomal RNA (252 nucleotides) under uncultured bacterium. RNAcentral's name for it is "partial 16S ribosomal RNA". It matches the Rfam family "Bacterial small subunit ribosomal RNA", at positions 526 to 776 of the family's 1533-position model. The record is from RNAcentral.
CAGAGGUGCCGAGCGUUUAGGCGGAAUCACUGGGCUUAAAGCGUGUGUAGGCGGGUCGUUAAGUGUCUUGUGAAAUCCCCCGGCUCAACCGGGGAAUGGCUGGGCAUACUGGCGAUCUUGAGCAGUCUAGGGGCAGAUGGAACAAGUGGUGGAGCGGUGAAAUGCGUAGAUAUCACUUGGAACGCCAACGGUGAAGACAGUCUGCUGGGGACUUGCUGACGCUGAGACACGAAAGCCAGGGGAGCGAACAGG